UUUCAUUCACAACAAGGGUUAUGUAUACAUGCAUGCUUACCUACAGGUUUAGAUGUCAUUCAACUCAACUCCAUGGGGUUGCAGCUGGAAAUGGAGUCAGAUUGGCAACAAAGCAUUUACUGAAUGCCUACUCAGGGCUGAAAUCUUUCAGAGACAAGGUUCAAGAGAGCAAGCAAAACAUUACAGGACAAUGAACAGAUCAAGUAGCCACUCCCAGUCAAGGACUGUAUGAGUUGCCCAGAGCAAGACCUUUUAGGAUAUGGUACAUAGCUGGGAGCCUGCCAACUCCUGAUUUUGUCAUUACCCUCAGAACUCCAGAAUGUAAGCUCCAUGAAGAAAAAAUAAGUAAUAAGAAAAAAAGAAAGAAAGAGAGAGAUAAGUAAAGGGUUUUAAAACAGGUCAGGGAGACUCCUGGGGUGGCCACCAGAAAUGCCGUUGAGAAUAGAAGACACCAAUGCUGAAG
Molecule: long non-coding RNA, 463 nt
Organism: Gorilla gorilla gorilla (western lowland gorilla)
Lineage: Eukaryota; Metazoa; Chordata; Mammalia; Primates; Hominidae
Exons: 5
Source: RefSeq, a predicted model, not a curated record